Molecule: long non-coding RNA, 4009 nt
Organism: Gallus gallus (chicken)
Lineage: Eukaryota; Metazoa; Chordata; Aves; Galliformes; Phasianidae
Exons: 2
Source: RefSeq, a predicted model, not a curated record
ACCAAUAAAGAGCCCUCCGUGCAAAUGAGGGAUGGAGGAGAAAUGAACGGAAUGAAAGCAGCUUUGGAUGGAGCAGAGCAGGGCUGGGGGGGGGGCAGUGGGCUGCCCACGUCACAGCAGGGCUGGGUGGAAGCCCAGGGCACACUAAUGGCCUUUGGAGAUUUGCUUUGGAGAUGGCAGCUGGCAUCGGCACCUCCUGCCUGGGCAACACAUGACCAUAGAACAACCCCUGUUAGUUGCUUUUCUCUGCAGUUUCCACACGCCUUACAUCAGCUCUCCAUCCGAGCAUCCUCACGGCAAAGCUCCACACGGACCCCAAGAAAACUGCUCCCUUCUGGAGGAGGAUGCCAAGUGCAGGAAGAGGGGCAGAGCGACGCAGGCGGAGCGGGCUGUGAUGCAUCAGAUGAAAGUGAGGCAAGAAGCACUGCUGUAUUCCAGGGAACAGCUGACAGAACUCACAGCUCCCAGCACGCUUGCUAACGAGCGUGCCUGUCAAUUACUCAUCUCACAUUGAUGUAAGGACUCGUGCUCUCAGCUCACUGCUCGCUACCAGGGACACACUGCCCUCUCUUGGAGAGCUCUGCAGAGCAGCUCUGGAGUGCCGGGAGUGACACCGAGCACUGCAACGCUGCUUGCAUUGCUUAGAAACUCACUGCUGCCCGAGACACAGGGCAGGAACCACCAGCAACUGCCUGGCUUUGAUUUGGAGCUUUGAAGACGGAGCAGGGAAGGCGCAUUGAGAGCUGCAUUCAAGUGAGCACCCGGCUACAGGCAGCGCUGCGCUCCCAGCCCGCGGUCACCAGGAAGCACGGAUGUUUGCUUGUUCCUGUUCCAGCUCCGCCACGCUUGCCCUGCACGGGGCACGGCUUCGCAGGAAACCACGGUGAUGAGAACGAGGAGCAGCCACCUAUUUGUCACCAGAGCUGCCUCCCAGCAGAGGUCACCCAGAGCACGGUCAGGCAUUUUGAGCCGCUGCUGCCAUUAAGGAUAGUGCAGCGCUGCCAGAGCGCAGCAGCAGCACCUCCAGCUGCCCCCAGCCCUGCUGCAGGCAGGGGAUGGCAGCGAGGCCAGCAAUCCUCAGCCUUUGCUGCUGCCAGGGCUGUGGGUUGAGCACGAGGAAAACUGCAACCCCAGCGCCGUGAGCACCAGCCUCCAAGCUCUCCUCUUGCAGUUCUCGUUUUGUUCUGCCCUGAAUACGAGCGCAGCGCUCAGAGGCGUUUCUCACCAAAUUAAAGUGUAGAGAAGAGAAAAAGCAUCAGGAAUUCCAGCAGCAGCAGCAGGCACAGCGCACAGCCUGCGUGCCAUGGCCGUGCAGCAGCUGCCAAGCACCGAGAGAAGCACAGGAGAAGCACAAAGGCAAUGCAACAGAGCCGGGUGCCGCUCUGCGUCUCCUCACCCCAUACUCACAGCAAAGCACCCACAUAGCACACGGCUGCACCACAAACAGGCUGCUGCUUUCUGAAGGCACGUUUAGGAAGGGAUAAGUGAGUAACGCUUUGCUCUUUUGCAGUUUAUCAGACGCUCUCAGUGGCUCCUCCAGAAGCAACAGCUUCCUUCCCUUCUGACCUGGGAGGUGUCCCAACACCCACCCUGCAUCCUACAAACCCACGGUGAGAGCCCUGGGAGCACCUCAGCCUCCGUGGCAGAGCAGUGCUGCUGCCCCAUGCAGACCCACUCGCUCCCAGUGCAGCUCCACAGCAGCCACGUGCAGGCAAGGAGGUGCAGGCAGGGAGGACAGCAGCACCCCAAGCACUGCUGCAGGCAGACGUGCUGCUGCGCCCCCACUCCCACCCCACAGUCGGGAUCAGAGCCACGCGGCCAACAAGAGAUUGAAAGCUGGUGCCAGCACACAGGUUAGACACCCUCUCACAGUAAUUAAAGUGAGCACUAUAUUUGAUUAAGUUUUAGCUUGCAUGCACUUCAGAACGCCAGCGUGCUGGCAGCAGUGCCGGAUGCAGAGCCCACCUCCCAGCACCAAACACCAGCAGGAAGGCUCCACGGACACAGCCAACAGCAGGACGAGGAGGGCAGGAUGACACCGAGGGAGAAGGACGAGGCUGGGGGAGCCCCAAACCCUGCAGCCAGGUGGGGAUCCACCCAACUACAUGGGGAUGCCUGCAGAAACGUGACCUGGCAACACCUGUGGGGCGGCUGCCACCCCCAAAAUCCAAGAGCUGCUGUGCCAGCACCCCCACCUGAUCAGUACUGCGGAGCAGCUGCUCCGUGCAGCUGAACCACUGCAACUUUGCCUUUUGUUCCGGGCGCGGGGGGCGCGCAGCAGAGAUGCGCACAAUGCAGCUCGCUGCAUGCUGACAGCCCUCUGCUAUUUUGGGAAUGCUCACCCGCAGGUGGGAUGGGAUUCGUGCUCCUGUGACUGACAGCACAACUCACCGACUCCUCUCCAGCCCGGCCCGUGGCAGCUGCUGCUAUUCUGAGCACCUCUCCGUGCUGCCUUGUUCCAAAGGAGAGCGCACCUCCACCACACCGGCUUGGCACGUGUUGAAGAGAAAGCAUGGCUUAUUUUUCCUCCAUCGAGUUUUGCACACAGGUGGAGAACCCUCUGCAGCAAAGCCAGGGGCUGCUCGUGCAAACGGCUGUGCACACGGGGCUGCUGCAUGGCGACAAAGCAGCUGGAGGAACCAAUGGCCACCCAUGCAUGGCCACCAAAGUCCCUGCACGGCCGCCAGCCCUGCGCCCUCUCCCUGCCCAACACUACACACAGGGUCCAACAGAACCAUCCACGGAUGGAACCAAUAGAAGGGAUGCCACACUGAGUGGGUAACGUGCUGUAGAAGUGUUAAGUCUAGCACGUGUUUUUGCACACCUGUGCACCACCACACGCAUAAAGAUGCACUUGAGUGUGAGCCCACUGCUCCUGAGGAGCCUCUAUGAGGAGCCAACAUGGAUGCUUACAAAGGAAAGCUGAGGGUGGGAUAAUGAGGCAAAGAAUGUCAGCCACCCCAUCAGCACCCUGAGCUUCCUAUGGAGACAAGAAGGAAUCCCACGUGCCACUGCUUACAAAAUCAACUUCUACUGACCUCCAACCUUCGUGUUGGACGCUGAGUUCCACCCUCCCCACGGUUACCUUCACCUUACUGAGGGCAGCGAUGACAACCUGAGCUGCGCUGCUCCUUCUUCACCAGGAGAUGCCCAGGAAGCCAAAAACCAACCACACACACAGGGAAUCCCAAAGCUGUGAGGCUGUUCCUUGCACGGGGCACCAACCCUCUCCCAGCCCUCCCCAUCACCUGGAACACCGCUGCUGCUCCUCUGCUUUCAAACCCGUACCUCCCCGUGUCUAAAGUGGCAGCUCCCUGUGAUUGCUGGAGGCAUCACCUGGCAUUUAAUGCCCUGUGAUCACCCAGCAGUGCUGCACGUGCACCUCCAGCCCCACGACAGCUCCCCACGCUCACCCUUACAGACACUGCCCCAUAACCAGAAGCCAAAUGAUAACGUUUCUCAGCCUAAGCCAGAAAGGAGAGGUGCCUCUCCAACCGGCUGAGUGCUACUGAUGGAAGAGCUGCAGAGCAACGUGGAAUCCACCACGGUACCACAGCGAGGGAUGCAGGGAGCAGCACAACAGGAGCACCAGCACGGAGCUGCAGCAGCAAGCAGGGGAGGCAGCCUUGGAGGUGAGCAGAACCUCAGGCUGGAGGAGGUGAGCAGAACCUGGGCUGCACCACGGAUCACCCCACAUAGACCCACACGCAGCCACAGGGCAACGCUGCUGGAGCUCCAGAACUGCGGCAGCAGAACCUGAGGGCAAACUGCAGUGGGUUAAAUGCAUCCAGAAGAACAACGCGAGGAGGAAUGGGAGAGCAGGAGUGGGCAAAAAGCCUUCCGGGUCUGAAGGAGAGCAGCCCGGGCUCUGCAUAAAAACAGAUGGAGGUUCUCUCCCCGAAGGGAUGCGUUUUCAGCUCUGCAAAACCAUCCGAGCAUUGAAACUUCUCUCCCGGCCGUUAGCAGGAGCAGGGAAAGGCAUGCAAUAAAUUACGAGAGCGUAACCCUC